CCUACGGGAGACAGCAGUGAGGAAUAUUGGUCAAUGGACGAGAGUCUGAACCAGCCAAGUAGCGUGAAGGAUGACUGCCCUAUGGGUUGUAAACUUCUUUUAUAUGGGAAUAAAAUGUUCCACGUGUGGGAUUUUGUAUGUACCAUAUGAAGAAGGAUCGGCUAACUCCGUGCCAGCAGCCGCGGUAAUACGGAGGAUCCGAGCGUUAUCCGGAGUUAUUGGGUUUAAAGGGAGCGUAGGAGGAUUGUUAAGUCAGUUGUGAAAGUUUGCGGCUCAACCGUAAAAUUGCAGUUGAAACUGGCAGUCUGGAGUACAGUAGAGGUGGGCGGAAUUCGUGGUGUAGCGGUGAAAUGCUUAGAUAUCACGAAGAACUCCGAUUGCGAAGGCAGCUCACUGGACUGCAACUGACGCUGAGGCUCGAAAGUGUGGGUAUCAAACAGGAUUAGAUACCCUAGUAGUC
RNAcentral lists this ribosomal RNA (460 nucleotides) under uncultured bacterium. RNAcentral describes it as "partial 16S ribosomal RNA". It matches the Rfam family "Bacterial small subunit ribosomal RNA", at positions 338 to 795 of the family's 1533-position model. The record is from RNAcentral.